AUAUUGGGCAAUGGACGCAAGUCUGACCCAGCCAUGCCGCGUGCAGGAAGACGGCCUUCUGGGUUGUAAACUGCUUUUAUCUGGGAAGAAAACACCCAUGCGUGGGAAACUGACGGUACCAGAUGAAUAAGCACCGGCUAACUCCGUGCCAGCAGCCGCGGUAAUACGGAGGGUGCAAGCGUUAUCCGGAUUCACUGGGUUUAAAGGGUGCGUAGGCGGCUAUAUAAGUCAGUGGUGAAAGCCCGCAGCUCAACUGCGGAAUUGCCAUUGAAACUGUAUAGCUUGAAUCUGGUUGAAGUGGGCGGAAUACAUCAUGUAGCGGUGAAAUGCUUAGAUAUGAUGUAGAACACCGAUUGCGAAGGCAGCUCACUAAGCCAACAUUGACGCUGAGGCACGAAAGCGUGGGUAGCGAACAGG
This 417-nucleotide ribosomal RNA is filed under the name uncultured bacterium. RNAcentral describes it as "bacterial SSU rRNA". It matches the Rfam family "Bacterial small subunit ribosomal RNA", at positions 361 to 776 of the family's 1533-position model. The record is from RNAcentral.